Molecule: transfer RNA, 86 nt
Filed under: Alphaproteobacteria bacterium
Lineage: Bacteria; Pseudomonadati; Pseudomonadota; Alphaproteobacteria
Description: tRNA-Leu
Rfam family: tRNA
About the family: Transfer RNA (tRNA) molecules are approximately 80 nucleotides in length. Their secondary structure includes four short double-helical elements and three loops (D, anti-codon, and T loops).
Source: RNAcentral
GCCCUCGUGGCGAAAUGGUAGACGCACCGGACUUAAAAUCCGUUGCCCGCAAGGGUGUGCCGGUUCAAGUCCGGCCGAGGGCACCA